Molecule: ribosomal RNA, 2800 nt
Filed under: Shigella sonnei
Lineage: Bacteria; Pseudomonadati; Pseudomonadota; Gammaproteobacteria; Enterobacterales; Enterobacteriaceae
Description: bacterial LSU rRNA
Rfam family: Bacterial large subunit ribosomal RNA
Source: RNAcentral
UUAAGCGACUAAGCGUACACGGUGGAUGCCCUGGCAGUCAGAGGCGAUGAAGGACGUGCUAAUCUGCGAUAAGCGUCGGUAAGGUGAUAUGAACCGUUAUAACCGGCGAUUUCCGAAUGGGGAAACCCAGUGUGAUUCGUCACACUAUCAUUAACUGAAUCCAUAGGUUAAUGAGGCGAACCGGGGGAACUGAAACAUCUAAGUACCCCGAGGAAAAGAAAUCAACCGAGAUUCCCCCAGUAGCGGCGAGCGAACGGGGAGNNNNNNNNNNNNNNNNNNNNNNNNNNNNNNNNNNNNNNNNNNNNNNNCCAUCCUCCAAGGCUAAAUACUCCUGACUGACCGAUAGUGAACCAGUACCGUGAGGGAAAGGCGAAAAGAACCCCGGCGAGGGGAGUGAAAAAGAACCUGAAACCGUGUACGUACAAGCAGUGGGAGCACGCUUAGGCGUGUGACUGCGUACCUUUUGUAUAAUGGGUCAGCGACUUAUAUUCUGUAGCAAGGUUAACCGAAUAGGGGAGCCGAAGGGAAACCGAGUCUUAACUGGGCGUUAAGUUGCAGGGUAUAGACCCGAAACCCGGUGAUCUAGCCAUGGGCAGGUUGAAGGUUGGGUAACACUAACUGGAGGACCGAACCGACUAAUGUUGAAAAAUUAGCGGAUGACUUGUGGCUGGGGGUGAAAGGCCAAUCAAACCGGGAGAUAGCUGGUUCUCCCCGAAAGCUAUUUAGGUAGCGCCUCGUGAAUUCAUCUCCGGGGGUAGAGCACUGUUUCGGCAAGGGGGUCAUCCCGACUUACCAACCCGAUGCAAACUGCGAAUACCGGAGAAUGUUAUCACGGGAGACACACGGCGGGUGCUAACGUCCGUCGUGAAGAGGGAAACAACCCAGACCGCCAGCUAAGGUCCCAAAGUCAUGGUUAAGUGGGAAACGAUGUGGGAAGGCCCAGACAGCCAGGAUGUUGGCUUAGAAGCAGCCAUCAUUUAAAGAAAGCGUAAUAGCUCACUGGUCGAGUCGGCCUGCGCGGAAGAUGUAACGGGGCUAAACCAUGCACCGAAGCUGCGGCAGCGACGCUUAUGCGUUGUUGGGUAGGGGAGCGUUCUGUAAGCCUGCGAAGGUGUGCUGUGAGGCAUGCUGGAGGUAUCAGAAGUGCGAAUGCUGACAUAAGUAACGAUAAAGCGGGUGAAAAGCCCGCUCGCCGGAAGACCAAGGGUUCCUGUCCAACGUUAAUCGGGGCAGGGUGAGUCGACCCCUAAGGCGAGGCCGAAAGGCGUAGUCGAUGGGAAACAGGUUAAUAUUCCUGUACUUGGUGUUACUGCGAAGGGGGGACGGAGAAGGCUAUGUUGGCCGGGCGACGGUUGUCCCGGUUUAAGCGUGUAGGCUGGUUUUCCAGGCAAAUCCGGAAAAUCAAGGCUGAGGCGUGAUGACGAGGCACUACGGUGCUGAAGCAACAAAUGCCCUGCUUCCAGGAAAAGCCUCUAAGCAUCAGGUAACAUCAAAUCGUACCCCAAACCGACACAGGUGGUCAGGUAGAGAAUACCAAGGCGCUUGAGAGAACUCGGGUGAAGGAACUAGGCAAAAUGGUGCCGUAACUUCGGGAGAAGGCACGCUGAUAUGUAGGUGAAGUCCCUUGCGGAUGGAGCUGAAAUCAGUCGAAGAUACCAGCUGGCUGCAACUGUUUAUUAAAAACACAGCACUGUGCAAACACGAAAGUGGACGUAUACGGUGUGACGCCUGCCCGGUGCCGGAAGGUUAAUUGAUGGGGUCAGCGCAAGCGAAGCUCUUGAUCGAAGCCCCGGUAAACGGCGGCCGUAACUAUAACGGUCCUAAGGUAGCGAAAUUCCUUGUCGGGUAAGUUCCGACCUGCACGAAUGGCGUAAUGAUGGCCAGGCUGUCUCCACCCGAGACUCAGUGAAAUUGAACUCGCUGUGAAGAUGCAGUGUACCCGCGGCAAGACGGAAAGACCCCGUGAACCUUUACUAUAGCUUGACACUGAACAUUGAGCCUUGAUGUGUAGGAUAGGUGGGAGGCUUUGAAGUGUGGACGCCAGUCUGCAUGGAGCCGGCCUUGAAAUACCACCCUUUAAUGUUUGAUGUUCUAACGUGGACCCGUGAUCCGGGUUGCGGACAGUGUCUGGUGGGUAGUUUGACUGGGGCGGUCUCCUCCUAAAGAGUAACGGAGGAGCACGAAGGUUGGCUAAUCCUGGUCGGACAUCAGGAGGUUAGUGCAAUGGCAUAAGCCAGCUUGACUGCGAGCGUGACGGCGCGAGCAGGUGCGAAAGCAGGUCAUAGUGAUCCGGUGGUUCUGAAUGGAAGGGCCAUCGCUCAACGGAUAAAAGGUACUCCGGGGAUAACAGGCUGAUACCGCCCAAGAGUUCAUAUCGACGGCGGUGUUUGGCACCUCGAUGUCGGCUCAUCACAUCCUGGGGCUGAAGUAGGUCCCAAGGGUAUGGCUGUUCGCCAUUUAAAGUGGUACGCGAGCUGGGUUUAGAACGUCGUGAGACAGUUCGGUCCCUAUCUGCCGUGGGCGCUGGAGAACUGAGGGGGGCUGCUCCUAGUACGAGAGGACCGGAGUGGACGCAUCACUGGUGUUCGGGUUGUCAUGCCAAUGGCACUGCCCGGUAGCUAAAUGCGGAAGAGAUAAGUGCUGAAAGCAUCUAAGCACGAAACUUGCCCCGAGAUGAGUUCUCCCUGACCCUUUAAGGGUCCUGAAGGAACGUUGAAGACGACGACGUUGAUAGGCCGGGUGUGUAAGCGCAGCGAUGCGUUGAGCUAACCGGUACUAAUGAACCGUGAGGCUUAACCUU